RNAcentral lists this ribosomal RNA (253 nucleotides) under uncultured bacterium. RNAcentral describes it as "partial 16S ribosomal RNA". It matches the Rfam family "Bacterial small subunit ribosomal RNA", at positions 524 to 776 of the family's 1533-position model. The record is from RNAcentral.
UACGUAGGCAGCAAGCGUUGUUCGGAGUUACUGGGCGUAAAGAGUGUGUAGGCGGUUUGCUAAGUUCGGUGUGAAAUCUCCCGGCUUAACUGGGAGGGUGCGCCGAAGACUGGCAGGCUAGAGUACGGGAGAGGGAAGCGGAAUUCCUGGUGUAGCGGUGAAAUGCGUAGAUAUCAGGAGGAACACCGGUGGUGUAGACGGCUUCCUGGACCGUAACUGACGAUGAGACACGAAAGCGUGGGGAGCAAACAGG